Molecule: ribosomal RNA, 245 nt
Filed under: uncultured bacterium
Lineage: Bacteria
Description: partial 16S ribosomal RNA
Rfam family: Bacterial small subunit ribosomal RNA
Source: RNAcentral
UACGGAGGGUGCAAGCGUUGUUCGGAAUUACUGGGCGUAAAGCGCGUGUAGGCGGUCGCUUAAGUCUGAUGUGAAAGCCCGGGGCUCACCUCCGGAAGAGCAUUGGAAACUGAGCGACUCGAGUGCCGGAGAGGAGGGUGGAAUUCCUGGUGUAGCGGUGAAAUGCGUAGAUAUCAGGAGGAACACCGGUGGCGAAGGCGGCCCUCUGGACGGAUACUGACGCUGAGACGCGAAAGCGUGGGGAG